CCUUUUCUUUUUUCACAUUCUCUCUCUCCUCAUAUGUCUCGAUCUCCUCCUCUCUCUCUCUCUCCUCAACCCAAACCCUAAGCCCCUUUCUUCUCCCUCUCCAUGCCCUUCUUCUCCCUUGAACUCCCUUCUUUCUCCAUUGAAGCGUAGAUCUGUUGUCUCUCCAUUGAAGCCAGGGUUCGUUACUCAAGCAUUGUCGGUCGUCCUCCUCUCUCUCGCAAGCUUCCUCGUUCCUCCGUCCCUUUCCCCCUCGCAACUCCGGUGGAAUUUGGGGUUAUUUCCGGCAGCCAGGGUUCCAAAUUUUAUUAGAUCGAAUUAGAGGUGGUUAUGAGGAUGGCGACGGUACUAAUUGGGAUUUCUAGGCUUUUCAGUAAAUUCGAAGAAGAAAAAAAAACCCAAUUUCUGAAUCCCUAAUUCAUACCAUUUGGAGCUCAAUUUGCAUGUUUUAUUGGGAUUUUUGUUAACAAGGCUGCAGCUGCCCUGCCGAGGCUGCUGCUGCAGAAACCAGAGAACUUAAGCCAGUGGCGUGGUGUGAGAUUCAGGCUUCGGACGCUGUAUUAUUGUUCUGUGCUGCUGCUUCGGAGCUGUUGUUGUCUAGUAAUUGUGAUGCUGCUACUCUGCUAGUGAUUGUUGUGUAGGAAGUUGUUGUUCUUGUUAUAGUGAAUGUAUCCAAUGUAUUUUUUUUCCUUUGUUUUUUGCAAGGGUAAAAUUAAAGGUUAUCAAUGAAAUUAUCAGUUUUAAGUAUACUAUGUAUAUUAUAACAGUCUGCUGCUAAUUUUGGGUGAAAAAAGAAAAAAUAAAAAUAAAUUAUUUUUUUAGGGCA
Chenopodium quinoa (quinoa) is the source of this 823-nucleotide long non-coding RNA. RefSeq lists it as uncharacterized. Lineage: Eukaryota; Viridiplantae; Streptophyta; Magnoliopsida; Caryophyllales; Amaranthaceae. The transcript is spliced from 3 exons. The record is from RefSeq and is a predicted model, not a curated record.